Molecule: ribosomal RNA, 486 nt
Filed under: uncultured bacterium
Lineage: Bacteria
Description: partial 16S ribosomal RNA
Rfam family: Bacterial small subunit ribosomal RNA
Source: RNAcentral
AUUGAACGCUGGCGGCAUGCCUUACACAUGCAAGUCGAACGGCAGCACGGGUGCUUGCACCUGGUGGCGAGUGGCGAACGGGUGAGUAAUACAUCGGAACAUGUCCUGUAGUGGGGGAUAGCCCGGCGAAAGCCGGAUUAAUACCGCAUACGAUCUACGGAUUACAGCGUGGGACCUUCGGGCCUCGCGCUAUAGGGUUGGCCGAUGGCUGAUUAGCUAGUUGGUGGGGUAAAGGCCUACCAAGGCGACGAUCAGUAGCUGGUCUGAGAGGACGACCAGCCACACUGGGACUGAGACACGGCCCAGACUCCUACGGGAGGCAGCAGUGGGGAAUUUUGGACAAUGGGCGAAAGCCUGAUCCAGCAAUGCCGCGUGUGUGAAGAAGGCCUUCGGGUUGUAAAGCACUUUUGUCCGGAAAGAAAUCCUUGGCCCUAAUACGGUCGGGGGAUGACGGUACCGGAAGAAUAAGCACCGGCUAACUACGUG